AUGCGCGUUUUUACCAUGCAGUCGACGGUGACCUCUGGAGCUUGCUUCGAGGGGAUCAGUGGCGAACGGGUGAGUAACACGUGAGUAACCUGCCCCGGACUCUGGAAUAAGCGCUGGAAACGGCGUCUAAUACCGGAUACGAGACGCAACCGCAUGGUUAGUGUCUGGAAAGUUUUUCGGUCUGGGAUGGACUCGCGGCCUAUCAGCUUGUUGGUGAGGUAAUGGCUCACCAAGGCGACGACGGGUAGCCGGCCUGAGAGGGCGACCGGCCACACUGGGACUGAGACACGGCCCAGACUCCUACGGGAGGCAGCAGUGGGGAAUAUUGCACAAUGGGCGAAAGCCUGAUGCAGCGACGCCGCGUGAGGGAUGACGGCCUUCGGGUUGUAAACCUCUUUCAGCAGGGAAGAAGCGAAAGUGACGGUACCUGCAGAAGAAGCACCGGCUAACUACGUGCCAGCAGCCGCGGUAAUACGUAGGGUGCGAGCGUUGUCCGGAAUUAUUGGGCGUAAAGAGCUUGUAGGCGGUUUGUCGCGUCUGCUGUGAAAAUCCGGGGCUCAACCCCGGACUUGCAGUGGGUACGGGCAGACUAGAGUGUGGUAGGGGAGACUGGAAUUCCUGGUGUAGCGGUGAAAUGCGCAGAUAUCAGGAGGAACACCGAUGGCGAAGGCAGGUCUCUGGGCCACUACUGACGCUGAGAAGCGAAAGCAUGGGGAGCGAACAGGAUUAGAUACCCUGGUAGUCCAUGCCGUAAACGUUGGGCGCUAGGUGUGGGACUCAUUCCACGAGUUCCGUGCCGCAGCUAACGCAUUAAGCGCCCCGCCUGGGGAGUACGGCCGCAAGGCUAAAACUCAAAGGAAUUGACGGGGGCCCGCACAAGCGGCGGAGCAUGCGGAUUAAUUCGAUGCAACGCGAAGAACCUUACCAAGGCUUGACAUAUACCGGAAACAUCCAGAGAUGGGUGCCCCUUUUGGUCGGUAUACAGGUGGUGCAUGGUUGUCGUCAGCUCGUGUCGUGAGAUGUUGGGUUAAGUCCCGCAACGAGCGCAACCCUCGUUCUAUGUUGCCAGCACGUAAUGGUGGGGACUCAUAGGAGACUGCCCGGGGUCAACUCGGAGGAAUGUGG
RNAcentral lists this ribosomal RNA (1125 nucleotides) under Janibacter sp. LZB061. RNAcentral's name for it is "bacterial SSU rRNA". It matches the Rfam family "Bacterial small subunit ribosomal RNA", at positions 40 to 1176 of the family's 1533-position model. Lineage: Bacteria; Bacillati; Actinomycetota; Actinomycetes; Micrococcales; Intrasporangiaceae. The record is from RNAcentral.